This 250-nucleotide ribosomal RNA is filed under the name uncultured bacterium. RNAcentral's name for it is "partial 16S ribosomal RNA". It matches the Rfam family "Bacterial small subunit ribosomal RNA", at positions 355 to 621 of the family's 1533-position model. The record is from RNAcentral.
UGAGGAAUAUUCCACAAUGGGCGAAAGCCUGAUGGAGCAAUGCCGCGUGCAGGAUGAAGGCCCUCGGGUUGUAAACUGCUUUUAUAUGAGAAGACUAUGACGGUAACAUAUGAAUAAGGACCGGCUAACUACGUGCCAGCAGCCGCGGUCAUACGUAGGGUCCAAGCGUUAUCCGGAGUGACUGGGCGUAAAGAGUUGCGUAGGCUGUUAAGUAAGCGAGUGAUGAAAACUAUCGGCUCAACCGGUAGCC